Molecule: non-coding RNA, 118 nt
Organism: Podarcis lilfordi (Lilford's wall lizard)
Lineage: Eukaryota; Metazoa; Chordata; Lepidosauria; Squamata; Lacertidae
Source: the annotation of a GenBank genome assembly
CUUCCAGUAGCACCUUAGAGACCAACUAAGUUUGUUAUUGGUAUGAGCUUUCAUGUGUAUGCACACUUCUUCAGAAUACAGUAACAAACCUAGUUGGUCUCUAAGGUAGUACUGGAAG